This 467-nucleotide ribosomal RNA is filed under the name uncultured bacterium. RNAcentral describes it as "partial 16S ribosomal RNA". It matches the Rfam family "Bacterial small subunit ribosomal RNA", at positions 28 to 506 of the family's 1533-position model. The record is from RNAcentral.
GACGAACGCUGGCGGCGUGCUUAACACAUGCAAGUCGAGCGGAAAGGCCCGGCGUUUGUGGGGUACUCGAGUGGCGAACGGGUGAGUGACACGUGAGUAACCUGCCCUUGACUUUGUGGGAACUUCAGGGGACUGGGGCGAAUACCGGGGAGGAUCUCCUGCUGCAUGUGGUUGGUUGGAAAGUGUCGGCGGUUGUGGAUGGACUCGAGGCUUAUCAGCUGGUUGGCGGGGUAGGGGCUGACCAGGGCUUUGACGGGUAGCCGGCCUGAGAGGGUGACCGGCCACAUUGGCCCUCAGAUAGGGCCAGGAGUCAUACGGCAGGAAGGAGCGGAGACCAUUGGACACUGCGCGGCAGCAGGAUGCAGCAACGUCGCGUCGGGGAUGACGGUCUUCGGGUUGUAAACAGCUUUCGCGUGUCACGAAGCGUGUGUGCCGGUACUGGUCAAAGAAGCACCGGCUACCUACGU